GGAUGUGAGGGUGAUCUGGCUGCAACAUCUGUCAUCCCACCAUUGAUCGCCAGGGUUGAUUCGGCUUCCUCCCUCACCACUCCACCUACGUCCCUCCCGAAGCUGCGAGCUCACUCAGAGGAAGAGGACAACCUUUCUGAUAGAGGAGGAGUGUUCUUCAGUCAAGGGUAUACGAGUAGCUGUGCUCGCCUGCUAGAACCUCCAAACAAGCUCUCAAAAACCCAAACAUUAUUGGUACAAUUGGUGAACUUAAAUAGGGUGUGAGGAAUAGGGUGUGAGGAUUAUAUGGUAGUAAUUUAUCAAUGUUAAUUUUCUG
Molecule: small nuclear RNA, 316 nt
Filed under: Prolemur simus (greater bamboo lemur)
Lineage: Eukaryota; Metazoa; Chordata; Mammalia; Primates; Lemuridae
Description: 7SK RNA (ENSPSMG00000005570.1)
Rfam family: 7SK RNA
About the family: 7SK was discovered as an abundant small nuclear RNA in the mid-70s but a possible function has only recently been suggested. Two independent studies have found that 7SK RNA binds the CDK9/cyclin T complex (known as elongation factor P-TEFb).
Source: RNAcentral